GAGUUGCGGGCAAAAUUACCGACGGAACACAGGAAUCAAUCCCGCUUCGAACAAUACACGAUUCUUACAUAAUUCCCGACCGCCGUCGGCCGGCACGCGAU
This is a long non-coding RNA of Aricia agestis (brown argus), 101 nucleotides long. RefSeq lists it as uncharacterized. The transcript is spliced from 3 exons. NCBI's taxonomy places the organism in Eukaryota, Metazoa, Arthropoda, Insecta, Lepidoptera, Lycaenidae. The record is from RefSeq and is a predicted model, not a curated record.